GCUGGGCAUGGUGGCGCAUGCCUGUAAUCCCAGCUACUUGGGAGGCUGAGGCAGGAGAAUCGCUUGAACCCAAGAGGUGGAGGUUGCAGUGAGCUGAGAUCACACCACUGCACUUCAUCCUGGGCGACAGAGCAAGACUCUGUCUCAA
This 148-nucleotide non-coding RNA is filed under the name Nomascus leucogenys (northern white-cheeked gibbon). Lineage: Eukaryota; Metazoa; Chordata; Mammalia; Primates; Hylobatidae. The record is from Rfam by way of RNAcentral.